AACCUAUUAGCUCAAAUGGUAGAGCACCAUGCAGAUGGAUAGGGUAUGUAGGUUCGAUUCCUACAUAGGUUG
Molecule: non-coding RNA, 72 nt
Organism: Spinacia oleracea (spinach)
Lineage: Eukaryota; Viridiplantae; Streptophyta; Magnoliopsida; Caryophyllales; Amaranthaceae
Source: Rfam